This 305-nucleotide ribosomal RNA is filed under the name uncultured bacterium. RNAcentral's name for it is "bacterial SSU rRNA". It matches the Rfam family "Bacterial small subunit ribosomal RNA", at positions 334 to 656 of the family's 1533-position model. The record is from RNAcentral.
GUGUCCUACGGGGCGCAGCAGUGGGGAAUAUUGCACAAUGGGGGGAACCCUGAUGCAGCGACGCCGCGUGAGUGAAGGAGUAUUUCGGUAUGUAAAGCUCUAUCAGCAGGGAAGAAGAUGACGGUACCUGACUAAGAAGCCCCGGCUAACUACGUGCCAGCAGCCGCGGUAAUACGUAGGGGGUAAGCGUUAUCCGGAUUUACUGGGUGUAAAGGGAGCGUAGACGGCAGGGCUAGUCUGGAGUGAAAUCCCGGGGCCCAACCCCGGGACUGCUUUGGAAACUGCCAUGCUGGAGUGCUGGAGUG